This 404-nucleotide ribosomal RNA is filed under the name uncultured bacterium. RNAcentral's name for it is "bacterial SSU rRNA". It matches the Rfam family "Bacterial small subunit ribosomal RNA", at positions 354 to 774 of the family's 1533-position model. The record is from RNAcentral.
GUGAGGGAUAUUGGUCAAUGGGCGCAAGCCUGAACCAGCGACGCCGCGUGGGUGAAGAAGGUCUUCGGAUCGUAAAGCCCUUUUCCCACUGAAGAGGAAGGACGGUAGGUGGGGAAGAAGUCUCGGCUAACUACGUGCCAGCAGCCGCGGUAAUACGUAGGGGGCAAGCGUUGUCCGGAUUUACUGGGUGUAAAGGGCGCGCAGGCGGAAUGGAAAGUCAGUGGUGAAAUCCUACAGCUUAACUGUAGAACUGCCUUUGAUACUUUCAUUCUUGAGUUCGGGAGAGAGAGACGGAAUUCCAGGUGUGGUGGUGAAAUACGUAGAUAUCUGGAAGAACACCAGUUGCGAAGGCGGUCUCUUGGUCCGAUACUGACGCUGAGGCGCGAAAGCGUGGGGAGCAAACA